UCCUACCAUUGCUAACAAAUAACCGUAAAUUUUCAUAACCAACCAGCACAUUAGCAAAACAAUAUACUGGCAUUUGCAGGACUUGAUUUACCUGCAACUCAACUAUUUACUCUGACUAUCCAACCAUUAACGAUGGCAUACAUACCCAUACAGAUGAACCACACCAGACAUACAGACAAGAUUAGUCGGAAUCGAGUUACCUGACAAACAGGUGCCACACAUUGCACUAAAAUAAAUCUUCUCGAAUGCGUUUCAAAAUCAGGUACGACAAACGAGGCCAUACUGAUUGAAUUUCUGGUACAUUCGGCAGAACGUUCGUUCUUCGCUCCUCACGAGCACGCAACGAAGAUGUUUCUCCGACCUUACCCCCUCAACGAGCUGUGCGCUUUUCAACGCGUUUGAAUUUGAGGAAGUGCGGCGUUCGCCCGUACGUCCAGCAUGGUUCUUCGGUACAGGUUAUGUUUUUUGGCAACAGCAACUAUUCAAAUCAACUGAAAGUUUUUUAGAAUUCAACAACUUCCAAUACUCAAGUGUCCAAGCUAGCAAACUGUUUAAUAAUCGUGACCCAACAUUCCUUUCAUGCGCACCCUCAGCGUCACAUAAAUCAACACUUUACAACACCUAUUCAAAGCUUCUA
Schizosaccharomyces pombe (fission yeast) is the source of this 637-nucleotide non-coding RNA. NCBI's taxonomy places the organism in Eukaryota, Fungi, Ascomycota, Schizosaccharomycetes, Schizosaccharomycetales, Schizosaccharomycetaceae. The record is from the annotation of a GenBank genome assembly.